UACGGAGGAUGCGAGCGUUAUCCGGAUUUAUUGGGUUUAAAGGGUGCGUAGGUGGUUAAUUAAGUCAGCGGUGAAAGUUUGUGGCUCAACCAUAAAAUUGCCGUUGAAACUGUCGGACUAGAGACGGCGAGAAGUACGCGGAAUGCGUGGUGUAGCGGUGAAAUGCAUAGAUAUCACGCAGAACUCCGAUUGCGAAGGCAGCUUACUAAACUAUAACUGACACUGAAGCACGAAAGCGUGGGGAUCAA
This 248-nucleotide ribosomal RNA is filed under the name uncultured Parabacteroides sp. RNAcentral's name for it is "partial 16S ribosomal RNA". It matches the Rfam family "Bacterial small subunit ribosomal RNA", at positions 524 to 771 of the family's 1533-position model. Lineage: Bacteria; Pseudomonadati; Bacteroidota; Bacteroidia; Bacteroidales; Tannerellaceae. The record is from RNAcentral.